This 253-nucleotide ribosomal RNA is filed under the name uncultured bacterium. Its description in RNAcentral is "partial 16S ribosomal RNA". It matches the Rfam family "Bacterial small subunit ribosomal RNA", at positions 524 to 776 of the family's 1533-position model. The record is from RNAcentral.
GACGUAGGGCGCGAGCGUUGUCCGGAUUUAUUGGGCGUAAAGAGCUCGUAGGCGGCUUGUCGCGUCGGUUGUGAAAGCCCGGGGCUUAACUCCGGGUCUGCAGUCGAUACGGGCAGGCUAGAGUUCGGUAGGGGAGAUCGGAAUUCCUGGUGUAGCGGUGAAAUGCGCAGAUAUCAGGAGGAACACCGGUGGCGAAGGCGGAUCUCUGGGCCGAUACUGACGCUGAGGAGCGAAAGCGUGGGGAGCGAACAGG